Long non-coding RNA from Actinia tenebrosa (Australian red waratah sea anemone), 2813 nucleotides. NCBI's taxonomy places the organism in Eukaryota, Metazoa, Cnidaria, Anthozoa, Actiniaria, Actiniidae. The record is from RefSeq and is a predicted model, not a curated record.
UAACAUAUGACAUCAGUUGACAUCAGAGAAAAACUUUAGCGCCAAAGGUUUUACUUUUGAACUUCUUUCAAAGAGGUUAGAGAAGUAUGGCGUUUAAAAUUAUUUGAAGCGUUUUCCUUAUGUUUUGCCGUCGAGUUAUAACAGUCUGGUGCGUCUGGUGCUGAAUAACGGCUGUACUAGAAAAAUGUCAUUAGCAUGAAUAUCACUUUGAAUAUCAAUUUUGACUUAACCACAUGUUUAUGUUAGUUAUGCAUAGUUUGUGCUGCAUGCUUUUCUGAGAAAAAACUAGAAAUAAAUUGAAUCCUUUUCUCGCUUUUCUCUUUGUGGGCUUCCUUUGUGCUGUCAUAUAUUAUGAUUCGAUUGGGGUCCCUGUGCAUUCAAAAUGGCGCCACAAUCCGCCACAAUAACACGAGUUGAAGUAUUUCAAUAUAGUUUAUGAAUUUGUGGCUUUUGGUACAUGGAAAGUUUACACUGUUCUUCCCACUGAGAWUCAAAGUAAUCUCUAAUUUUCUAAAACAUGGAGCUACACAGUUUUCAUCCAACUUCGUGAGUAACAAAGCCUCAGGUUACAGUCUGUCGUUUUGCAUUUUACGACAUCUGUAAAAUGCGAAAUGACGGUUUCGCAUUUUAAAGAUCUGUAAAAUGCGAAAUCCUCGUUUCGCAUUUUAUUGUUUCGUUUCGUUUCGUUUCGUUUCGUGGUUUAUGGUAAGCGGGGCUGAUGUUUGAUGUAUGGUUUGCAUUACAAUGGAAAACCUGUCCUGGCUUUUGAAUGCUGCCCCGCUCUCUUCUGUUAGUAUCGAUCACUGCUGAAUUCAAAACUAAUCCGGGACAGGUUUUCCAUCAAACUUCAAAAAUGACAUCAAACGAUAAAAAUAAUUCGUGGUUGGUUUUUAAAUGUCUAUCAAAAAAUAGAAGAAAAAUGACUCAUUUCAAUGGAAACCUCAUUGGACAGUAACUAGGUAUCAUUGGGCAGGGUAGAGUGGUCAGUAACCACUAGUUAACUACCCUCCCCAAAGCACACAUUUUUAGUUAAGGUUGAGGUCUAUCUUCCACACAACACACACAUUUUUAGUUAAGGGUCAGGUCUACCCUCAACACAACACACACAUUUCGAGAUAAGGGUGAGGUCUACCCUCUACACAACACAAAAAUUUUUAGUUAAGGGUGAGGUUCUACCCUCCACACAACACACACAGUCUAGCCUCACUACAGCACAACAAAAAAACGCAUUGUCAGUCAGUGAAUUAAAUCAGACCCAUUGUGGAAUGUAUCUUGAAUCGCUUCCAAUAGUAUUUUGGAUCAUUUUUAAGAUAAUGCAUGGGAUUUUCAAAUUCGUUCUUAGAACAAUCGAAAAACCAUGUCCUAGCAAUAAUAAUAGGAGUUUAUUGUGAUCGAUAAAGAUCAACAUUGUCUUAAAAUUAUUUAUAUUUCUUUGCAAUCAUGUGAGAUGGGUUCUUGCUAAAUAUACAGCAGAUUUGACACUAAACAACAAAGAUCACUAUGGAAACAGUCGUUCAGCACUGUCAUGUACUAUAUAUAAAAACGAGCAGCAGUGCUUUUAAUAUUCAAAUGUAAAAGCCUGAGUGUUGUGAAAGUUUUUUAGAAAACACAUAAAUACAUGGUUCGAGAUUUUUAUAUGGCUUUAAAAACCUCAAACACUAAGUAAAACCAAAAAUUUUAAAUAAAAUAAGCGUAAAUGUAGCAUAAUUUCUCAUGUAUGUAUACUGAGGAGAUUUACGUUUCACAUUUGUCACAAAGUUCAUUGGAAAUGCAUUUUAUACACAAGUUCAUUUUUUUGGUCCGUUCUGAUCACAUGGUUGAACUCAUGGGCUAACCACAUGCGCUUCUUGAGCGCCUUUUAUUCCACAAGCCACAGGUAUACUAUCCUAAGUAUUAGUGGUUUCGGAUUUCUCUGGUUAGGGAUCCCCAGUGUUGCACAGAGGUAGCUGUUUAUCGAUGGAGUUCAAAUUCUGCUUCUAAAAUCUUUCUUCAGUAGUCGAUCUUUCUGGAAAAAAAUAUCUGGAAAUAAAGAUCAAUAGUUUAUUAUGUGUCUUGAAGUGUUUCUUCUGCGAAAAAGCCUUAAAAACACUCGUUUGGAACUUCGAAAGUUCGACGAAUUUGACUCGUGCACCUAGUGGAAAAAUUAGACCACCGUUCUCGUUUUGGAUUUAUUUUGACAAAACGUUGGAAAAUGGUCGAAAACCCACUCCUUUUAGAGGAAAGUCUUGGUCGAGUUCUACCAAGAUCGCAAUUUUUCGGCUAAAAAAGAGAAGAAAAGUAAAAUUUAGCUUUGGAUAUGACUUUUACUUAGCCUCAUGGGACACGUUUGUAUGACGGGAAUAAAAUAGGAAGUUAAAAUUGCCCGUUGCGAUCACAGACAUAAAUAAAUAAUUCCGAGCAUAAUCGAAAACUGCUACGACCUGUUUUGGUCAUUCAAAAAUUUGCAGCACCCGUUUUAAAAUUCUCUAUAUGACUAUUUCAAAAUGGUAAGACAGGCUAAAUUUGUAAUAUUUUAUAAUAAGUAAGAAAUUCUAAUGAUUCUAUUAAAAUGUUUAAAAUGUUGACACAUUUAUUUGUUAUUUACACUGGUUUUGAAAUGUAAGUGUGUUGUUUGCUCUUGAAUCAAGGACAGUUCCCUUCCUGUACUAAUAUAUAUUUGUAUUCCUGUUGCCAUUCAUACUACUUCAGCGGCUUAUUUGAUAUCUAACGAUGUAGCCAUUAAAGAUGAGCACCUCUGGAAUAAAAGACAAAAACUAGAACAGCCACAGGUGUAUUCUGGACCGUAUCCUUGCUUGGAUAAGAAUGGCGCUCCU